UACGUAGGGGGCGAGCGUUGUCCGGAUUCAUUGGGCGUAAAGAGCUCGUAGGCGGUUUGGCAAGUCGGGUGUGAAAUCUCCGGGCUCAACUCGGAGAGGCCACUCGAUACUGCUAUGACUAGAGUCCGGUAGGGGACUAUGGAAUUCCUGGUGUAGCGGUGAAAUGCGCAGAUAUCAGGAGGAACACCGAUGGCGAAGGCAGCUCGCUGGGACGGUACUGACGCUGAGGCGCGAAAGCGUGGGGAGCAAACAGG
This 254-nucleotide ribosomal RNA is filed under the name uncultured bacterium. RNAcentral describes it as "partial 16S ribosomal RNA". It matches the Rfam family "Bacterial small subunit ribosomal RNA", at positions 524 to 776 of the family's 1533-position model. The record is from RNAcentral.